AGAGUUUGAUCAUGGCUCAGAUUGAACGCUGGCGGCAUGCCUUACACAUGCAAGUCGAACGGCAGCACGGGAGCAAUCCUGGUGGCGAGUGGCGAACGGGUGAGUAAUAUAUCGGAACGUGCCCAGUCGUGGGGGAUAACGCAGCGAAAGCUGUGCUAAUACCGCAUACGAUCUCUGGAUGAAAGCGGGGGACUCGCAAGGGCCUCGCGCGAUUGGAGCGGCCGAUAUCAGAUUAGGUAGUUGGUGGGGUAAAGGCCUACCAAGCCUGCGAUCUGUAGCUGGUCUGAGAGGACGACCAGCCACACUGGAACUGAGACACGGUCCAGACUCCUACGGGAGGCAGCAGUAGGGAAUUUUGGACAAUGGGCGCAAGCCUGAUCCAGCAAUGCCGCGUGCAGGAUGAAGGCCUUCGGGUUGUAAACUGCUUUUGUACGGAGCGAAACGGUCUGCCCUAAUACGGCGGGCUAAUGACGGUACCGUAAGAAUAAGCACCGGCUAACUACGUGCCAGCAGCCGCGGUAAUACGUAGGGUGCGAGCGUUAAUCGGAAUUACUGGGCGUAAAGCGUGCGCAGGCGGUGAUAUAAGACAGAUGUGAAAUCCCCGGGCUCAACCUGGGACCUGCAUUUGUGACUGUAUCGCUAGAGUACGGUAGAGGGGGAUGGAAUUCCGCGUGUAGCAGUGAAAUGCGUAGAUAUGCGGAGGAACACCGAUGGCGAAGGCAAUCCCCUGGACCUGUACUGACGCUCAUGCACGAAAGCGUGGGGAGCAAACAGGAUUAGAUACCCUGGUAGUCCACGCCCUAAACGAUGUCAACUGGUUGUUGGGUCUUCACUGACUCAGUAACGAAGCUAAC
This 854-nucleotide ribosomal RNA is filed under the name bacterium enrichment culture clone IsoM-53. Its description in RNAcentral is "bacterial SSU rRNA". It matches the Rfam family "Bacterial small subunit ribosomal RNA", at positions 8 to 856 of the family's 1533-position model. The record is from RNAcentral.